RNAcentral lists this ribosomal RNA (253 nucleotides) under uncultured bacterium. RNAcentral describes it as "partial 16S ribosomal RNA". It matches the Rfam family "Bacterial small subunit ribosomal RNA", at positions 524 to 776 of the family's 1533-position model. The record is from RNAcentral.
UACAGAGGUCCCAAGCGUUGUUCGGAUUCACUGGGCGUAAAGGGUGCGUAGGUGGUGAGGUAAGUCGGAUGUGAAAGCUCCGAGCUCAACUCGGAAAUGGCAUUGGAAACUACCUUACUCGAGGGUUUGAGGGGGGACUGGAAUACUUGGUGUAGCAGUGAAAUGCGUAGAUAUCAAGUAGAACACCAGUGGCGAAGGCGAGUCCCUGGAAAACUCCUGACACUGAGGCACGAAAGCUAGGGGAGCAAACAGG